This 473-nucleotide ribosomal RNA is filed under the name uncultured bacterium. RNAcentral's name for it is "SSU rRNA". It matches the Rfam family "Bacterial small subunit ribosomal RNA", at positions 26 to 518 of the family's 1533-position model. The record is from RNAcentral.
AGGAUAAACGCUGGCGGCGUGCCUAACACAUGCAAGUCGAACGUCUCUUUCUUCGGGAAGAGGAGUGGCGGACGGGUGAGGAACACGUGGGAACCUGCCCUACAGUGAGGAAUACCGGCGAGAAAUCGCCGACAAGACCGCAUAGCCCUCUCUGGUGAGAGCCAGAGAAGGAAAGCUUCGCAAGAGGCGCUGGAGGAGGGGCCUGCGUCCGAUUAGCUAGUUGGUGGGGUAAGAGCCUACCAAGGCGUCGAUCGGUAGCUGGUCUGAGAGGACGAUCAGCCACACUGGGAUUGAGAACGGCCCAGACUCCUACGGGGGGCAGCAGUGAGGAAUUUUCGGCAAUGGGGGAAACCCUGACCGAGCAACGCCGCGUGCAGGAAGACGGCCUUCGGGUUGUAAACUGCUUUUCUUUGGGACGAGCAAGGACGGUACCAGAGGAAGUCAGCCCCGGCUCACUACGUGCCAGCAGCCGC